UAAUUGCACGAAAUACGACAACUCCUACCAGCAAACCAGCGCUGAUAACGAAGUACCUAACUAUAGUGGUCAUAUAAACGCUCACGCUGCAGUGUGAACUAGCUACCUAUCGCAUUUUUGUGUUGAAUAAAUUCUAUAAGUAAGUAAGUAUACCUGCUUUACGUAUACCUACUUGGGUGUUGGGUGUGUUUUUCGACCAUAUCAACUCUUUCACGCGAAAUAAGUAUUUCGAAAUUUGAAUUCUCUGGUCUUUCGUAUGGCUUCGCUUCCGGUUGCCCGUGGAGUUCAUUUAAGAUCUCAGACUGAAUUUUCAUAGCCUCAAAUCGCAUCAGGACUAAUUGCACGGAAACUGAAACUUGCUGAAUUUUUCUGACCCGAAUAACGAAGUGGUGAAUAACAAAAUGAUGACAAAAGCCAAAUAUUUUGCACUAAUAUUCAUCUUAACAAGAACUAUAUUGACUGUAACAUGCUUUGGAACCCUAAAAAUCGAAACCUACAAUCCACAACAAAAAGCAUUGUUCCCCACUUCUGCAAGUCUAAUCGAAGGAUUCGCAGAAGCAAUACAGAUGGACGCAGAGUUCACUCUACCAGACGGUGAAAAAGUUGCAGAAAGGAUUAAAGCGAGUAGAAAAAAACUCAAGCUAAUUAUCAUCAGCUGUGGUGAUCCAGAUUACUACUUUGGUCUUCAAUCUAUCGUGAAAUACUACCCAGAUGUAAAAAUUGUAGCUUCUGCCAAAGUAGUGGAACAUAUCAAAGCAACCAAAGACGAAAAACUAAAAACAUACGCUCCAAUGUUGAAAGACAAAGCACCCACUAAAUUAUACGUACCGGAGGUUAUCGACAGUACGUACUUCUCUCUGGAUUUUCAACCGAUUGUGUUGAAAAGUGAGAAGAAUUAUGCAGCUUAUUAUCAUAUUCCUUUCCAAAGUACUAUUCUUGGUGGAGUUGGUGUUUCUUCGGAGAUCUACCCGUUCACAGCAGAUACCAACACUACGGAAAGUCGAGAAGGUUGGAGGAAGGUUCUUCAAGAAAUGAUUGAUCUUAAACCCAAAACAGUGAUUCCAGGACAUUAUCUUGGUAAACCGCCGGAUGGGGAUGAAGCAAUCAAGUUCACUUUGAAAUAUCUGGUGGACUAUGAAAAGGCCUUGAAAGAAAAUAAGAAUUCCGCUGGUGUGAUUCGAGAAAUGAAGAAACUUUAUCCAAAUCUUGGCCUGGCAAGUAAUUUAGAGCUUGGUGCUAAAGUGAAUAAGGGGGAGAUGCAGUUUUCAAGAUGAGAAAAAUAAUUGUAAGCUAAAUAAUUCCAUUUUCAUGAAAUGCUCAUGCUUAUACCAAUUCAUGACCUUGUAAAAUAAAAAAAAUAAAAUUAUCACCGAAAAA
Molecule: long non-coding RNA, 1377 nt
Organism: Planococcus citri (citrus mealybug)
Lineage: Eukaryota; Metazoa; Arthropoda; Insecta; Hemiptera; Pseudococcidae
Exons: 2
Source: RefSeq, a predicted model, not a curated record